GAUGAACGCUGGCGGCGUGCCUAAUACAUGCAAGUCGAGCGAACAGACGAGGAGCUUGCUCCUCUGACGUUAGCGGCGGACGGGUGAGUAACACGUGGAUAACCUACCUAUAAGACUGGGAUAACUUCGGGAAGCCGGAGCUAAUACCGGAUAACAUGUUGAACCGCAUGGUUUAACAGUGAAAGACGGUCUUGCUGUCACUUAUAGAUGGAUCCGCGCCGCAUUAGCUAGUUGGUAAGGUAACGGCUUACCAAGGCAACGAUGCGUAGCCGACCUGAGAGGGUGAUCGGCCACACUGGAACUGAGACACGGUCCAGACUCCUACGGGAGGCAGCAGUAGGGAAUCUUCCGCAAUGGGCGAAAGCCUGACGGAGCAACGCCGCGUGAGUGAAGAAGGUCUUCGGAUCGUAAAACUCUGUUAUUAGGGAAGAACAAAUGUGUAAGUAACUAUGCACGUCUUGACGGUACCUAAUCAGAAAGCCACGGCUAACUACGUG
This 497-nucleotide ribosomal RNA is filed under the name uncultured bacterium. RNAcentral describes it as "partial 16S ribosomal RNA". It matches the Rfam family "Bacterial small subunit ribosomal RNA", at positions 28 to 507 of the family's 1533-position model. The record is from RNAcentral.